Molecule: ribosomal RNA, 497 nt
Filed under: uncultured bacterium
Lineage: Bacteria
Description: partial 16S ribosomal RNA
Rfam family: Bacterial small subunit ribosomal RNA
Source: RNAcentral
GAUGAACGCUGGCGGCGUGCCUAAUACAUGCAAGUCGAGCGAACAGACGAGGAGCUUGCUCCUCUGACGUUAGCGGCGGACGGGUGAGUAACACGUGGAUAACCUACCUAUAAGACUGGGAUAACUUCGGGAAACCGGAGCUAAUACCGGAUAAUAUAUUGAACCGCAUGGUUCAAUAGUGAAAGACGGUUUUGCUGUCACUUAUAGAUGGAUCCGCGCCGCAUUAGCUAGUUGGUAAGGUAACGGCUUACCAAGGCGACGAUGCGUAGCCGACCUGAGAGGGUGAUCGGCCACACUGGAACUGAGACACGGUCCAGACUCCUACGGGAGGCAGCAGUAGGGAAUCUUCCGCAAAGGGCGAAAGCCUGACGGAGCAACGCCGCGUGAGUGAUGAAGGUCUUCGGAUCGUAAAACUCUGUUAUUAGGGAAGAACAAAUGUGUAAGUAACUAUGCACGUCUUGACGGUACCUAAUCGGAAAGCCACGGCUAACUACGUG